RNAcentral lists this long non-coding RNA (3243 nucleotides) under Marmota monax (woodchuck). Lineage: Eukaryota; Metazoa; Chordata; Mammalia; Rodentia; Sciuridae. The record is from RNAcentral.
GGCAAACAGGCAUUUGUCAAAAAUGUUUUGUCAAUAAUUAUUUUAAGAUAUAACAUAUAAUUAUUUUAAGAUAUAAAUUAUUUUAAGAUAUCCCAUGGCUGUGGUCAGUUUGGACAAAUGACCAAUCUGCAAUCUGUAAACUGCCAUCAGAUGCAAGAAGUCCACCGACACUAGAGCUGCCCAGGUUUGACUCCUAGUCUGCUCUUUGCACUCCGCCUGACAACCUUCCCUCGUGCCUGGCUGCCUGAUCCAGGCACUGGAGGAAAGUGAAUGUUGAUGCUGGCCAUGAGGUUUUCCAAGGCCACUGGGCACAAUUCUGGGGUUGCCACUGGGUCUCAGAGUCUCAUUGUUUUGCAAGGGUCACUGUUCUGUCACACCACACUGCCUCAACUUGUUAGAGGCAAGCUUUCCCCUGGGAACGAGAGUUAAUCAAAAAGUUCCUGUUGCACAUCAAUUUGGUCCUGGGUGUAAUUUCUACUCAGAUUACAUGGAUCUUGUAAGGUCACGCUCUGCUGCUCCCUGGACUCUGACCGCUGCCCGGCACCUUCUCCUUCCUCCUCAGAGACACCCUUCCCUGCCAAGAGCAGGCCUAGGGUGGGACCUAGACAUGGGCUGUGGCCAAUUCUUCUGUUCUCAGAUUGUUUCUUGACAGAUGCCCAAAACAAGAAGCUGGGGAUGAGAGGAACCCAGGCAAGCUCUGAUCCUGAACUUGGAUAUAGUUCCCUAACAGCUGGCAUUUUAUCUCAGUCACAUUAUAAUUUUAUUUUGUUGUGUUGCAAAAAAACCUAGGUUCCUCAAAAGAUUUGGCCAAGUUCAUAGCAAAGUUCUAGUACUUAUUCAUUCAUUUAACACAAAUUUAUUAAGUACCUAUUAUAUUUGUCAGAUACCAUUCCAGGAGUCAGGAUUAUUAUGACAGAGAACAAAACGGAUGAAUGGCCCUGUUCUCUUGGAGCUUACAUUGUUAUAGAAAGAAAAAUGAUGAAUGAGUAAUAUGUUCUAAGAAAUUUGAAGAAAAAUUUGUAAUCCCAGUGACUCAGGAGGCUGAGGCAGGAGAAUCAUAUUUGAGGCUGGCCUCAGCAAUUUAGUGAGGCCCAAGCAACUUAGCAAGACCCCAUCCCCAAUACCAGACCAAAAAAAAAAAAAAGAAAGAAAGAAAAAGAAAAGAGGGGCUGGGGCGGUGGCUCAGUGGCAGAGCACUUGCCUGGCAGGUGGGAGGCCCUGGGUUCAGUCCUCAGCACCACAGAUAAAUAAAGAUCCAUUGGCGACUAAAACCUAAAAAUAAAAAUAAAAGAAAAGAAUGAAAGAUAUUUGAAGAAAAAUCAAGCAGGGUAAGAGAGAGAGCACAAUAAUGGAGAGGUGGGCUGCUCUUAGGCUUUUCUGAUGGGGAGACUUGAAGCAGAGUGGGAAGGAGGCCAGGUGCUGCCAGGGAGCUGUCUGGAGGAGUCCUUUCCAGGCAGGGCAGCAGGAGGGCGUAGCUUCCCAGCCAGGUGUGUUAGUGGCCUGGUGAGUGGCAGCUUCUCACUGACUGUGUCCUGGCUGGGCCUUGUCUGCCUGUGGUGGGCUUGUUGGGAGGAACCAGUGGAAUCAUUUAUGUGAAAACAUUUGUAUAAACAUCAAACACUGUAUAGGAAUAUUCUGUUUAUGUUGUCUCCAUCAAGUAUUUGUAAAGUGGCUAAAUCAUCAAGUAUUAUUAACUAUAAUUAUUAUAUUGCAGUUCUGCCCCCUUUGUUUUCUUAUUAUCAAGGUGAAUUUCACCUAACAUUAACAUUGUUAUAUGUUACAAUCAGUGGCAUUUGUUCCAUUUAUAAUGUUGCCCAGCCACCACCUCUCUAGUUCAAAACUUUACCAUCAUCCAUGCUCUUUUUAUUCAUUUUUCUUAUUUAUUUAUUUACUUACUUUGUGGUGCUGGGUUGGAACCCAGGACUCAGAGCAUGCUAACCAGGCAUUCUGCCAUUGCCCCCAUAUUUUUCAGUAUUAAUUUAUGUUGUCACUCCUGAAAUAGGAUUUCCCCCAUUUCUGCUUUGUUCUUUCCAUUUCUGUCUGACCUGCACUAGUUCCUAUGGUUCCUCCUUGUCCUUAUUCAACAGGUAUUUAUCAAGGGCUGGGGUGUGGUUCAGGGGUAGUGUGCUUGCCUAGCAUGCCAAGGCCCUAGGUUCCAUCCCCAAAACUGCCACCAAAAAAAAAAAAAAGGUAUUUAUCAAGCAUCUAGUACACAGUAGGCAUAAUGCUAGACAGACCCGGGGAAUUCAGGGGUUUAGAUACUGAACAGAUAAUUGACAGGAAAUUUAAUUAUGAUACAUGUUUAUAAGGGGAAAAACGCUGUAAAUACUGUGUUAAAAAUUUUGUGUGGGCUAGAAAUGUGUGAGGUCCUGCAUUGGGUCCCCAGCACUGCAAAAAGUUAAAAAAAAAAAAAAAGUGAAGUUAUUAGAGCUGCUAGAAAAAAAGCUGCCACAUAAUUGUGUUCCCACGGCAAGAGACACUGGGGUGAAAGAUCUCCUCGGGGAAGUGAAAUGGAUUUUGCUUGGGCAGAAGCAGGCGUGGUACCGGUAAAAACAGCAGGGCCUCAUUCAUUUGCUCCUGAGAACGACCCUUUGACGUGAGCAAGGAUGACCGUCGCGCCCCUUUUACAGACGUGGAAACAGAGGUUCAGCCGGCUGUGCCUUUCUAAUGCCACCUAGGGGUUGUAGCUAGCGUGUCGCUUUAACCAACGACGGCCUGGUGGAGCUGAAAGCCUUUUGUCCAACAGAGGGCAGCCGCGCACCGGGCGGGGGCAGGAGACCGUCAGCGCCCCAGCAGAGGGCGCCGCCCCGACGGCCCGACUCCGGGAGUCCGGGUACAGGAGCCCAGCGCCUGCGGGCUUCUCUAUGCUAGUUCGUGCUUGUGUUUUCUUAAACGCUUGUUCUUUAAUCAAAUUGUAGGAUAACAGGUCAGAGCAGCUACCCGAGUCACCCGCAGCUGUGAGCCAGUGACCACCGACACCCGGUCUGCCCCUCCCAGGCCCGCGGCUUGCCACGCACCCUGCCCGCGGUCCUGGAGGCCGCACGUCGCUCAUGUAGGCGCAGCCUGGAGUUUCUUCAGGCGGAUGACCUGGCAGCCUUUGCACCCCACCCACAACUGGUUUCGCUUUCCUAAUGCUGUUAAAAGUGCCUUCUAACUGGAGUGGGGUGGCGGAACAGGUUUCAGCAUUUUACUUACUUUUUUAUAUGCUCAUUUAAGAUUUCUUUGGUUAGUCCCUUCCCUCCC